RNAcentral lists this long non-coding RNA (204 nucleotides) under Manihot esculenta (cassava). RNAcentral's name for it is "long non-coding RNA (MESC_LNC000937)". Lineage: Eukaryota; Viridiplantae; Streptophyta; Magnoliopsida; Malpighiales; Euphorbiaceae. The record is from RNAcentral.
UAAUAGUCAAGGGAGGCUAUUUAUAAUAGAAAUAAAAUCCUAAUAUGCAAAAAUAAUCCUAAUCCUAAUAGGAGUCUAAAAUCCUAAUAGCCAAGGGAGGCUAUUUACAAUAGAAAUAAAAUCCUAAUAUGCAAAAAUAAUCAUAAUCCUAAUAGGAGUCUAAAAUCUUAAUAGUCAAGGGAGGCUAUUUACAAUAGAAAUAAA